Molecule: ribosomal RNA, 864 nt
Filed under: Burkholderia sp.
Lineage: Bacteria; Pseudomonadati; Pseudomonadota; Betaproteobacteria; Burkholderiales; Burkholderiaceae
Description: bacterial SSU rRNA
Rfam family: Bacterial small subunit ribosomal RNA (bases 280-864)
Source: RNAcentral
CCAAAAACGUGAAGCUGUACUUCGGAAUCGUCACGGAGUCGAUACGCAUCCACGUAUAUGCCUAGAUGUAGUGCAGUUUACAUGAUACCGCUACUGAUCAUUGAUGCAGCUAUUGCAAGGGUGAAUCCCGUGCAGGAAUGGUGGAUUGAGAUACAUGCGAGCGCCCUGGCCAAAUAGGCUCCGAAAGCUGGGAGAACAAGAUUGAAACUGUAUUCACGCCUAAAGAGUUAAUAUUUUUGGGGGCUUUUCCUAUAAAGAGCUAACCGGGAAGUUACCCCCUGGGAGUCCGUUCCAAAUUAAAAUCAAAGGAAUUACGGGACCCCCCCACCGGGGGUGAAUUGGAUUAAUUUGAGGCAACCGGAAAACCUUUCCUACCCCUACAUGGCGGGAUCCCGCUAGAAGGUGAGAGGGCUUUGAAAAGAAACCGGCGCACCGGUGCUGCAUGGGCUGUCGUCAGCCUCGUGUUCGUGAGAAUGUUGGGGUAAGUCCCGCAACGAAGCGCACCCCUUGUCCUUAAGUGCUACGCAAGAGCACUCUUAAGGAGACUGCCGGUGACAAACCGGAGGAAGGUGGGGAUGACGUCAAGUCCUCAUGGCCCUUAUGGGUAGGGCUUCACACGUCAUACAAUGGUCGGAACAGAGGGUUGCCAACCCGCGAGGGGGAGCUAAUCCCAGAAAACCGAUCGUAGUCCGGAUUGCACUCUGCAACUCGAGUGCAUGAAGCUGGAAUCGCUAGUAAUCGCGGAUCAGCAUGCCGCGGUGAAUACGUUCCCGGGUCUUGUACACACCGCCCGUCACACCAUGGGAGUGGGUUUACCAGAAGUGGCUAGUCUAACCGCAAGAGACGUCAUCAGCAGAGUACUUU